Molecule: ribosomal RNA, 254 nt
Filed under: uncultured bacterium
Lineage: Bacteria
Description: partial 16S ribosomal RNA
Rfam family: Bacterial small subunit ribosomal RNA
Source: RNAcentral
CACGUAGGGUGCGAGCGUUGUCCGGAAUUAUUGGGCGUAAAGAGCUCGUAGGCGGUGUGUCGCGUCGGCCGUGAAAACCUGUGGCUUAACCAUGGGCUUGCGGUCGAUACGGGCAUCACUGGAGUUCGGCAGGGGAGUCUGGAAUUCCUGGUGUAGCGGUGAAAUGCGCAGAUAUCAGGAGGAACACCGGUGGCGAAGGCGGGACUCUGGGCCGAUACUGACGCUGAGGAGCGAAAGCGUGGGGAGCAAACAGG